AUUGAACGCUGGCGGCAUGCCUUACACAUGCAAGUCGAACGGCAGCACGGGAGCAAUCCUGGUGGCGAGUGGCGAACGGGUGAGUAAUAUAUCGGAACGUGCCCAGUCGUGGGGGAUAACGUAGCGAAAGCUACGCUAAUACCGCAUACGAUCUAUGGAUGAAAGCGGGGGAUCGCAAGACCUCGCGCGAUUGGAGCGGCCGAUAUCAGAUUAGGUAGUUGGUGAGGUAAAGGCUCACCAAGCCGACGAUCUGUAGCUGGUCUGAGAGGACGACCAGCCACACUGGGACUGAGACACGGCCCAGACUCCUACGGGAGGCAGCAGUGGGGGAAUUUUUGGACAACGGGCGCAAGCCUGAUCCAGCAACGCCGCGUGCAGGAUGAAGGCCUGG
RNAcentral lists this ribosomal RNA (391 nucleotides) under uncultured bacterium. RNAcentral describes it as "bacterial SSU rRNA". It matches the Rfam family "Bacterial small subunit ribosomal RNA", at positions 29 to 419 of the family's 1533-position model. The record is from RNAcentral.